GUAAGAGCUAAAAAAAGAAGGCAGAAAAAGGAGCCCAGAGUGACAGUUUUUCUUGACAGUCGCCGUUCUGUUUGCUGUAACCGAUCUGCAACAUUUCAGGAAAAGACAAUU
This 111-nucleotide small nucleolar RNA is filed under the name Myotis davidii. The record is from RNAcentral. Lineage: Eukaryota; Metazoa; Chordata; Mammalia; Chiroptera; Vespertilionidae.